CAAUGUCAACGGCCGCGGGAUUGGUAAAAAAACGUCUUCUUUGUCUAUGCGGAACAACCCCACCACAUGUCUUCUCCCUUCUCCUUCCGCCAACGAAGGCGACCUUCUUCUUCGGCCAACGAAGGCUUCCUCCCUCUCCCGCAAACGACGAUAGACGGGGAAUAGGUAGCUUGGGUUCGUGGUCAGUUAGACUUCCCCUUCUUUUCAGAGAUUUCGAGACUCAGAGUUCGAUCAGAGAUCCAGAUGGUUCGUCUCCAGCACCCAGACAUUCACCAUCGACAAUCUUCAAGGCUUCCCCUCUUUCUCCCCCUUGCUUCCUUGCUUAUCUCCGCUCUUCUCUUCAUUGACCCAGUUUGUUUGUGAAGGUAUGAUUCCUUUAGUUUUUCCAGUUUCUAAUUUCACUUACUUUGUUUUAUCGUGAUAAAAUAUUUGUCUUUUACUCAUGCAAUGAAAUUCUAUUCACGACUUAUAAUUGUGCAGGGAAGUUCACUUAAUUUCACUCGGUUUAAUGCACUGCUGAUUGGCACUGUCUGCACAGGGUAAAGUAUCAUUAAGGGACUGAAACUGUUUUCACAGGGUAAAAUAUCAUGUGAAGUUUAUUUGAGCACAAGCAACCAGCUAGUCGUCCGUCAGAAUUGCUACCCUCUGGUAAGGAAACCUGUUCUGUCUAUCAUACUUUGAAGCAUUGGCUUGGUUUCAUCCAGUAAUUCAAUGCAAGAUGAGAAUUAAUGUUCUUUGUCUUAUGUUUUGUCAUUUUUGUCGAUAGUGAAUCCAACCUCACACUGGAUUCUGGAUAAAUGAAAGUUGUGAACUUGGCUCCUCUCAGUUGCAUACAUACACGAGUUUGAUGGUAAUUAUCUUACGAGAAUGUGAUACCUUGAUUCUCUUGAUAUGAUGUUAAGUCAAUAUAGAUUAAUGCUCAAUCAGGGUGGUUUAAUGGGUGCAUUAGUUUAAUAUUACAUCAGGGCUGCUACUGCAACAUAAUUUUAGUUUUUCCAUCAGGGUUCUGCAUAUACUGAAUCAACCACGAGGAAAUGUAUUUCGAGAAAUCGCUUCCUAACUCCUUACUGGCAAUCGACACGAUUGACGUUUCUUUCCUGCAGUGAUCCUGGAGUAAUAUAUGCCACAAAGCUCCAACAUUGUCAAAAAGUGACUAAAAUCUGAGAAAUCAGCUUCUGUGAUCUUGGACUUUUAUGCUUUUAGUUCCCAUCAAAUUUCUUAGAUUUGCACUUUGCAGUUAGUUCGAAGAGCUGGCUUCCAGGAUGAAUCUGCCAGGAUUUAAAGCGCUGGCUUCUGUAAACUACAGUGCAGCUAUUCAUCACCGUCCUUCAAGCUAAGAGCUGAUUCAGUGGCUCAUAUGCAAAGCGCACAUACAAGUGGAAGUACACUUCAGAGUUCAGAGUUGAUUUAGUAACUUGGAAUGAAACUUUUUUGCUUCAAUAUAGAUUCAACGGUAUGGGUUACCUCCUCGAUUCUUCUUUAACUGUGACCAAGGUUGUACGUCAGAGUUCAGAGCCUGUUUUCUGCUAAUUGCUCUCUAAGCUCAUCAGCAUCAAGAACUGACAUUUUUCUGUGAGCCGGAUAUAUAAAAUUCCCUAAUCUGACUAUCUGAGUAAUGUUCUUCUAAUCAUUUCAUUUCAGCCUUUGUUAGUCGUAAGCAUGUUACGAGAACUAAUUUUGUUGGGCAGCAUGAAAUGAAUCCACUUUGACUGCAUGCCUUUGCAGCACACGAAUACAAGUUAUGAAAGUGUUUAUGAUUGAAUAGUAA
This 1768-nucleotide long non-coding RNA is filed under the name Linum usitatissimum (flax). Its description in RNAcentral is "long non-coding RNA (LUSI_LNC004670)". Lineage: Eukaryota; Viridiplantae; Streptophyta; Magnoliopsida; Malpighiales; Linaceae. The record is from RNAcentral.